GAUGAACGCUGGCGGCGUGCCUAAUACAUGCAAGUCGAGCGAACAGAUGAGGAGCUUGCUCCUCUGACGUUAGCGGCGGACGGGUGAGUAACACGUGGAUAACCUACCUAUAAGACUGGGAUAACUUCGGGAAACCGGAGCUAAUACCGGAUAAUAUAUUGAACCGCAUGGUUCAAUAGUGAAAGACGGUUUUGCUGUCACUUAUAGAUGGAUCCGCGCCGCAUUAGCUAGUUGGUAAGGUAACGGCUUACCAAGGCAACGAUGCGUAGCCGACCUGAGAGGGUGAUCGGCCACACUGAAACUGAGACACGGUCCAGACUCCUACGGGAGGCAGAAGUAGGGAAUCUUCCGCAAUGGGCGAAAGCCUGACGGAGCAACGCCGCGUGAGUGAUGAAGGUCUUCGGAUCGUAAAACUCUGUUAUUAGGGAAGAACAAAUGUGUAAGUAACUAUGCACGUCUUGACGGUACCUAAUCAGAAAGCCACGGCUAACUACGU
Molecule: ribosomal RNA, 496 nt
Filed under: uncultured bacterium
Lineage: Bacteria
Description: partial 16S ribosomal RNA
Rfam family: Bacterial small subunit ribosomal RNA
Source: RNAcentral